RNAcentral lists this long non-coding RNA (1286 nucleotides) under Gallus gallus (chicken). RNAcentral describes it as "lncRNA (ENSGALG00010014374.1)". Lineage: Eukaryota; Metazoa; Chordata; Aves; Galliformes; Phasianidae. The record is from RNAcentral.
UGAGACUGGGGCAUGUGUGCUUCAGGCAGUGGCCUGCAGUGAAAGAUGACAAAUCAUUUUAGCAUUUGGUGACUUGGCAUAAGGAAACAUGCUGCCCGAUCCUAUUACAGCAACCGCCCUCUGCCAGAAAGCUCCUAACGACGGGGAUCUUCUAAGGUUGCUAUUAAGAUAAUUACUUGGACUUAAAACAUGGUGGUUGUUUUUUUUUUUUUUACUGGGCAUAAAAUUUUGGUAGCCUCUGCCCCCCUCAUUUGGCACUGGUGAGGCCACACCUCAAGUACUGUGUUCAGUUUUAGGCCUCUCACUACAGCAAAGACAUCGAGGCCCUGGAGGGUGUCCAGAGAAGAUCAGUGAAGCUGGUGAGGAGUCCGGAGCACAGGUCUUACGGGAGCAGCUGAGGGAACUGGGAUUGUUCAGUCUGCAGAAGAGGAGGCUCGGGAGGUUGUAUAGCAAGGUGUCAUAUGCCAGGUAGCAUGAAGAAGUUCUCUUUGAAUACAGCUUGUUUCUAAAAGAUUAUAAAAAAACUGUUGGAUUUGUGAAGAGUGCGAAACAGUAUUUCCCAUUUGCAAUGAAUGGUCUGAUUUUAUCACUUCUUGUGCUUUUUGAGAUCUUUCUUGAUGGGCAUCAUUUGCAUCAUUCCCAAAUAUGAGCAAAAGACGUCCUUUGGCCUUAAAAGCGUACAUAGAAGACAAAAAAUUGAGAGGUCUCAUCUGCAGUAACAAUUGUCAGAAGCUCCUCUAAAUGCGCAGCUCCACUAACAGUCACUACUGAUGAUAUAUUCUACUUUCAUGUUCUCUUGACGUGUUUUGGUGCAGGGACAAAAACACUUUUGCACUGUGUAAUUAGACAGGUUUCUGCUGAUACCAUCAGUGGGUAUUUAACAAGAGCAGAGAAGCAGACGGUAAAAAUCUAUCAUAUACAAAUUAUUUCAUUUCUUUGUGCUUUCUUCUCCUCUUCUUCUCCAUUGCUUUCCUUUCGGUUUUCCUUCUAGAUGGGGAGAUUUCUGGAAGGAAGACCAAUUCAUGUCGUGUGUUAGUGAAUCUUCAAGCAAACACGUCAGUAUCUGUAACAACAACACAUUAUGCCAAUAUCCAAAGAAAUGCCAUAAUAACUAGGCAAAAAUGUGGACCGAACGACAUGAAAGAAUCCUUUCAUUGAAAGGAAGCGAAUAAUUAGAAUGUUGGGAAGAGAGCAAUAUUAAAGAAGCUGCUGUCAGAUUUUCUGAGAUGAGAAUGGAUUGGGUUUUGCUUUAUUUUUCUACUUACUGUCACUAGCUGCUAGAAUUC